GUGAACACGAUGAUGAGAAGAGUAGGAUGCGGAACUUUUCAGAGAGAGAUACAUUUGCUGGAAGUAUCUUAUUGGGAAACAUCUGAAAACUGCCUCGGAGUGACCCUAAUCCGGUCCGGUCUGAUACCGUUAUCAUCAAAUAGAGAGGCUCUUUCAUCUCUGAAGAUGAAAAAGCAAGCGGGGUGGAACCGCGAGUCAGAAAAUACUCGUCCCUUGC
RNAcentral lists this non-coding RNA (217 nucleotides) under Blautia sp. Its description in RNAcentral is "T-box sequence". It matches the Rfam family "T-box leader". From Rfam's summary of the family: Uncharged tRNA acts as the effector for transcription antitermination of genes in the T-box leader family. T-boxes are found upstream of many aminoacyl-tRNA synthetase genes and some amino acid biosynthetic genes usually in Gram-positive bacteria. The record is from RNAcentral. Lineage: Bacteria; Bacillati; Bacillota; Clostridia; Lachnospirales; Lachnospiraceae.